RNAcentral lists this ribosomal RNA (272 nucleotides) under uncultured bacterium. RNAcentral's name for it is "partial 16S ribosomal RNA". The record is from RNAcentral.
CUGCUGCCUCCCGUAGGAGUUUGGACCGUGUCUCAGUUCCAAUGUGGGGGACCUUCCUCUCACGAACCCCUACGCAUCGUCGGCUUGGUGGGCCGUUGCCCCACCAACUACCUAAUGCGCCGCAUGCCCAUCCAUGACCGGGGUCGCCCCCUUUGACCGGCAGGGGAUGUCCCCUCCCGGCAUUAUGUUGUAUUAGGCGGGAUUUCUCCCGGUUAUCCAUCCUGUCACGGCCAGGUUGCAUACGUGUUACUCACCCGUGCGCCGGUCGCCGG